GCCCCUGGUUUUGGGCCGAUUUUUUUUUUGAUAAAGGGGAACCAAGCUCAGAUCUCUUAUAUUUUCUUCUUUAACACAUGGAAACAACUUUCUCGCUCACAAUUUUUGGGUAGAAAGAGCAGGGGUAAAAAGCGCAAAAGCAGCUCUCUCUCUCUCCUUCACUCUCUCUCUAGUCUUUGACUUUCUCAGAUCCACGGUGGCUGGGAUUGAUGGGGGUGAUUUGGCGGUGUUGGAUGAGUGAUUUGGCAGCGGUGGAUGGGGAAAACGUGGGUGGUAGCAGAUCGGGUGAAGUGGUG
Molecule: long non-coding RNA, 296 nt
Filed under: Brachypodium distachyon (stiff brome)
Lineage: Eukaryota; Viridiplantae; Streptophyta; Magnoliopsida; Poales; Poaceae
Description: long non-coding RNA (BDIS_LNC000805)
Source: RNAcentral